Molecule: ribosomal RNA, 422 nt
Filed under: uncultured bacterium
Lineage: Bacteria
Description: partial 16S ribosomal RNA
Rfam family: Bacterial small subunit ribosomal RNA
Source: RNAcentral
AAUCUUCCACAAUGGGCGAAAGCCUGAUGGAGCAACGCCGCGUGAGUGAAGAAGGUUUUCGGAUCGUAAAACUCUGCUGUAAGGGAAGAAAAAGUACAGUAGUAACUGGCUGUACCUUGACGGUAGCUAAUUAGAAAGUCACGGCUAACUACGUGCCAGCAGCCGCGGUAAUACGUAGGGGGCAAGGCUUGUCCGGAAUGAUUGGGCGUAAAGCGCGCGGAGGCGGUCCUUUAAGGCUGAUGUGAUAGCCCACGGCUCAACCGUGGAGGGUCAUUGGAAACUGGGAGACUUGAGUGCAGAAGAGGAAAGUGGAAUUCCAAGUGUAGCGGUGAAAUGCGUAGAGAUUUGGAGGAACACCAGUGGCGAAGGCGACUUUCUGGUCUGAGACUGACGCUGAGGCGCGAAAGCGUGGGGAGCAAACA